CUACGGGGUGCUCCAGUGGGGAAUAUUGCACAAUGGAGGGAACUCUGAUGCAGCAACGCCGCGUGGAGGAUGACACUUUUCGGAGCGUAAACUCCUUUUAUAUAGGAAGAAGAUGACGGUACUAUAUGAAUAAGCGCCGGCUAACUCCGUGCCAGCAGCCGCGGUAAUACGGAGGGCGCAAGCGUUACGCGGAAUCACUGGGCGUAAAGAGCGUGGAGGCGGAUUAAAAAGUCAGAAGUGAAAUCCUAUAGCUUAACUAUAGAACUGCUUCUGAAACUCUUAAUCUAGAAUAUGGGAGAGGUAGAUGGAAUUUCUGGUGUAGGGGUAAAAUCCGUAGAGAUCAGAAGGAAUACCGAUUGCGAAGGCGAUCUACUAGAACAUUAUUGACGCUGAGACGCGAAAGCGUGGGGAGCAAACAGGAUUAGAUACCCCUGUAGUC
RNAcentral lists this ribosomal RNA (439 nucleotides) under uncultured bacterium. RNAcentral's name for it is "partial 16S ribosomal RNA". It matches the Rfam family "Bacterial small subunit ribosomal RNA", at positions 339 to 795 of the family's 1533-position model. The record is from RNAcentral.